UUUGUACAACAAAAGAAGUGAGAUAUUGUUUUACAAUGUUGAUUUCUUUCUCCAGAGACUGAAAGCUUUUGAACAACUUUAACGUGCAACAAACCAUUGGAAUACAAGGGAUGGAAGAAACAAACAAACACCCAUUCCGAGAGAGUGAAUUAAAGCUUUUGGACGUGAUCUUAGGACAAUAGGAGUGAGAAAUGACUCCAGAAAGCCAACCAAUGUGCAGGAAGUAAGGGUCUUAUUUGUCCAAAAGCAAUCUGAAAUGCAACUAAAUUCCAAGCAACCGCAUGAGCGAAGCAGCUGAAACACUGUCAGCGGAGAAAGACGUGUGCAGGCAGCGCGGGCUGUGCUGAAUUCACUUGCAUGGGAUUUGUUCAGCUGCUGAGAAAUGAAGAAAGUGAU
This is a long non-coding RNA of Gallus gallus (chicken), 396 nucleotides long. Lineage: Eukaryota; Metazoa; Chordata; Aves; Galliformes; Phasianidae. The record is from Ensembl.